This is a long non-coding RNA of Vombatus ursinus (common wombat), 871 nucleotides long. RefSeq lists it as uncharacterized. The record is from RefSeq and is a predicted model, not a curated record. The transcript has 3 exons. NCBI's taxonomy places the organism in Eukaryota, Metazoa, Chordata, Mammalia, Diprotodontia, Vombatidae.
CAGGAUGAAGUGACUUGCUCAGGGUCACACAGCUAUUUGUGGAAACCACAGGCUUCUCCAAGUUCACUAUAUUAAAGGUUUCCCACAGCACAGAAAGAUUCCAUUACAUUCACAGGCCACGCCAUCAAUGGGCAUCUCCUUAGUUUCUAGUUCUCAGCACCACCAGAAGUACUUUUGCGACUGUCAAGUCUCCGAGGCCGCUCUGGGAUCUGUACGUGGCUCCUCCGAUGUGCUGUGGCCGGCUCCCCUCCAUCACAGGCCUGAACUCUUCCAACAAUGUGGCCCUCAAUGACUCAAGACAUUCAGCACCACCUAAAGAAGGCUGCAGCCGCCUGCAACCUGUCUGGUCCCCCACCUGUCUACGAAAGCUGCGACAGUAAACACUUGGCUCGACCCAACAUUCAUUUUUCAUUGUUCCUCCUUGGCCUCGAUUCCCCUCUUGUACUAACGACCCCUCCCCCCAAACUGGAUUUUCUUUCAUCUUAAGAGACAUUCCACUUUGCUGAUUCUCUGGCUCCCUCUCAUUGUCCUCCUCAACUGGCUUAUCCUUCCCUAACCAACCUCUUCAUGUGGGAUAUCCAAAUGUCUGUUCUUGGCUCUCUUCCCUCCUAUCCAGCAAUCCUGUAACUACCUUCAUUAAGUCCACUUAACAACAGUGCUCUCUAUCAUUCCCAAAUACCUAACUAAAAUCUUGAUCUGCAUUCUGAGCUCCAUCUCCAACAGCCUACAAUGCAUCUCCAGGUCUUGCUAUCCUGCAAGGACCUCACAAACUCACUAUGUAACCCAAACUGAGCUCAUUUUCCUCCUUAAAUCCGGUCUUCCUUUGGAUGUCAGUUUGCCUGUGGCACCCCUCAUUCAGUCUGCCACGUUU